Molecule: ribosomal RNA, 253 nt
Filed under: uncultured bacterium
Lineage: Bacteria
Description: partial 16S ribosomal RNA
Rfam family: Bacterial small subunit ribosomal RNA
Source: RNAcentral
GACGGAGGGGGCUAGCGUUGUUCGGAAUUACUGGGCGUAAAGGGCGCGUAGGUGGUUAUCUAAGUUAGGUGUUAAAGACCCGGGCUUAACCUGGGGAGUGCACUUAAUACUGGAUGACUUGAGUAUGGAAGAGGAAAGUGGAAUUCCUAGUGUAGAGGUAAAAUUCGUAGAUAUUAGGAGGAACCCCAGUGGCGAAGGCGACUUUCUGGUCCAUAACUGACACUGAGGCGCGAAAGCGUGGGGAGCAAACAGG